GAGAGACAGACACUGAGAGUGGAAUGCCUCCAGAAGCCGAUGUUGCCAUCCCCCGAAACAGUGGUUGCAUCGUUAGUGCUAAAAUCCCAGACAGUCCUUCAUGGGAACUGACUUCUCCAGCCCUCACUCACUCAGUGCUGUGUAUACAGCUCUGGAACGUGCAGCAGCAAGACAGACCGUGCAGCAAGAAAGAGGCAGACAGAAAGAGAGGAGCAGAGAGGAAAAGAGAAAAGGAGAGGAGAUGGAGAGAGAAACAGAGAGGCAGAGAGAAACAAAGAAAGAUCGAAAUGGGAGGAACAUGACAAGCCUUGUCAUAGGCAGACAGCAGGGGAAGCAGCAGCGGAGGCAAGACGGCAGCUUGGCAUUGAGAGCCGCAGAUUGAGCCCAGCUGAGGGAAGAUGGUGUAAACUAAAUGUGAAGCGGAGCCAGACCCUCAGCUAAAUCACCUUAGGGAUGAGAUUCCAAACAUGACUAGCUUCCAGUAUCUAAUAAUCAAAGGUUCCUCUCAAGGGGGAAACAUCACCCAAAACAGCAACAGAGUCAUGACAAGACAAUACAGUUGAAUCUACAGAAAUUAUACACAAUCAAAUGCAUGCCCGCACGCACAAACACAACUCUCUGCAUUUAUCCCCACAAGAGGAGAACCAUGAUGUCACCCUUUUCUAUUCUCCACACCACAGUGUAUUUUAAAUAGUGAAAGUUAACCCACUUACUCCACCUAGGGGGGAGUUUGGUAACUACAUCUACCAGGGUUGGGCUCAAAUUGAAUUGAAGGCAGUCAAUUCAGGAAAUUAUUUGAAUUUAAAAUUCAGGAAGGUUAAAAAUAAAAUAAAAUAAAUAGCUUCUGCUUUUCAGUUUAUUGAGAAGUGAUUGAAAAUAAAUUCCCCUUUUUGAUUAUUGAAUAGUAAUUUUUGUUUACUUCCUGAUUCGACUGCCUUUAAUUCAAAGCCCAACCCUGAUAUUACAGCCAAGCACGAUUGUGUCAACUUCGCUGUGGUAAAACAAAAAUAUCCUUAUACUGUAUAUUUUAUAUUCUCAAAGCAGCCAAAUUACAAAUGGAUGUGUGAAUAAAUGACAAACUAUACAAAUAUGUUUCCUGUUCUUGAAUUUCCUGUACGGUUAUAGCAAUGGAACUUUCGGUUGAACCCUUUGACCAGAUGGCACAUCUAUUUUUAUCAUCUUAUUUCCUACUGAAAUAUAAUUUUAUUCUAUAAAAUUGCUGUAAUUCAUAUUUACACUCAGUAAACUGUACUGUUGGCUUGACACUUCCACAUAUCUCUCCAUUCCCUCUCUGCCUUUCCCCCCAUUUCACCUCUUUGAUAAUGUCAUUCUGGACAUGGCUGUCUCCCCAAUCCCCCCAUCGUCACCUAUCCUUCACCUACCAUCCGUCUCUCUCACCUUCUCCUCCCCCCUUUCCCCUCACCUCUGUGGUGAC
Molecule: long non-coding RNA, 1435 nt
Organism: Oncorhynchus mykiss (rainbow trout)
Lineage: Eukaryota; Metazoa; Chordata; Actinopteri; Salmoniformes; Salmonidae
Source: RefSeq, a predicted model, not a curated record